Molecule: long non-coding RNA, 8228 nt
Organism: Acinonyx jubatus (cheetah)
Lineage: Eukaryota; Metazoa; Chordata; Mammalia; Carnivora; Felidae
Exons: 3
Source: RefSeq, a predicted model, not a curated record
GAAUCCAUUCACCUACCCUGCUCCCCUAAAAUACUUUGCUGUGGCUUCAAUAACUUGGAAUACAAUUGGAAUUUUUGAGUUAAGCAAGGUUCAAAGAAAAUCUAUUUCUGCUGGCAUGACCUAAGUGCAGUCUUACCCAGAAGCAGAAGGCCCAGCUGAGGUUGUUCAGUCCUUUUAGCAAGACGAAGUCUUACCAAAAACUCAGGGUAUUUGGUGCGGGUAACUGAAAUAUUUCUUAUAACUUUACAUAUGGGAGGGGAUAAAGCAUCGUUAUUAAAAACAACAGAAGUAUUUCUCCAAAACAAGUUUCUCUCUUUCUCAAAAAAACCUAUCUGUGGUCUGAGGUGGCUGCUGUUGGCCUGAGACAGAAUCCAUAUGCCCAGGUUUUAGACUUCAGGAGCGCAGGUUGGAAAAAGAAACAUGAGCAGUGUCUGCUAUUGCUGUUCAUUGCUGUGAUCCCUCAGGGUUCUGGAAUUGUCUGCUUCCUGAAGAGCCUGCCGCUCACUGGCUCAAGCUGUCCCGAUGCCCAAGGGAAUGUCCCAGGUUUGCAGAUGUGCUCUUAGCAUCUUCCCUGGAAAUCACAGAACUUCAGGUAAACAGUGACGUUUGUAUUAUCUCAGUUUCCAAGUAUCGUUUUGAUUUGGAGGGUCCCUUUUGCAGAGAAAGGCUCCCAAAGCUGGCAUUUCCCAGUAGCAACAGAAAGGCUUUUAAGUAAUUUAUGAAAAGACAGUGAAAAUUGCAGCCACUUCAAUUGUGGUGUAUAUGGCGGUGGGGUUGCGGUUGUGUGGUGGGGGUGUGGGGAGUGAAUGAAAGGCAAGGUGGAAGAAGGGAUAAUUAAAAGCCAUGUGAAAAUGGUCACAACCUUCCACGCCCUGUCUACUUCACUCCCUUGCCCCACCUCUGCCUGUCUCCGUCUUCACCUGCCCUCUCUGGAGAUGGGCCCAUUCCGAGUUUCUGAGACUCACAAAGGUGCAAUUCUGACAUUGGACCUUGACCAAAAAAAAGUUUAAGCACCUCAGGGGACCCCGUGUAGACAUCUCCUGGGACCUCUCCACAGCUCCUAUGCUGAGGGCCUGCCUUUCUUCAGUCUUCUCUGGGGGUAACGCACAGAGGACAGAGAUGCCACGGUGCUUAGCCCAGUGGCCUGGCACUCGGGUUUUGCAUCAAAGAAUUGAGAUGAAGAAGAUUUAGAAAUGACCUGGGUGCUAACUCUCCCUCUACGUAGAAAAUCUUGGCUUUUCCUUAUGGCAGCAGAAUUCAAACACAGACCUCAAAAGUGAUUAAGAUACAAAAUAGUUCCAUAAAGACAAUGCUGUUUAUUUUUAUCGAGGGGGUUAAAUGAUUUGCCCCUAUUUUUUUUUGGCAGGUUAGUGGUUGAGGGAGGAAAGCAAUCAAGCCCUGUUUGGUCAUAAGGGGGAGGGCUUUUCUCUCUCUUUUUAAAAACUUUUAUUUUCAAGUUAUUCAUUUAAUUACAAUGAAAAUGCAUUCGUAGCUGCAAAAAAUAAAUGUGCUAUUUAUAGGAAAAAAUUUAAAUGCAAAAGAAUUAGAAAGGUGAAAAAGAGCUAGUACAAACCCAUGCCCUACAGAUAACCGCUAUUAACAUUUUUCUCUUUCCAGUCUUGUCUUUGUGUGCAUAUAUUUACAUAAUUGGGAUCAUACUAAUUAUAUAGCUUUAUAUAUUUUAUUAACACCUUCUGGGCAUUUCUCCAUGCCAUCAGAUGUUUUUCCACGGUCGUGACUGAACAAUACCCCGCUAUUUGGGUAUGUCAAGGCUCACUGGAUCAUGCCCCCAUCGAUAAACUCUUACGUUGCUCCCGGGUUUUCUCUCUAACAAAUAAAGCUUGCUUUCUUCUUCUUUUAUACCAGUCUGUGCUUUUCUGAUUAUUACUAAGGAGGCAUCCCUAGACAUAUGAUGACGGCCAUGCCAGAUUCUUUCAUAAAGCGGCAUUCCUCCCUCUGGCCUUUUUGUUUUCCGAAAACUCUGUGGAUUGGCCCUCUUUUCCGCGUGCUUAGUAGAAUAGAAGACACGGCUUCUCGUGGAUUUCUGGAUUUUCUUUAUUUUCAAGAGGACAUGCUGUUUCAAGCAUGCUUGGGUUUCCUGUAUCUUGGGAUCCUGGUAAUCGAGCCCGAUUACCAUGACUCCCAACAUCUCCCUGGUGCAUAAGUUCUUGAGUUCAACCCAGGCAACAGGAACAAAUGUUUUUUUGCCCCCAUGGCCUCCCAACCUUGGCAGCCUCCCCCCUUCCCCGUACUGAUGCAUCAAACUGGACGGUGAGAAUGGGGACUCUAUUAGCUCAGAGGUCAUGGGUGGUGAAUCUAAGGGCUGAUGGUGGGAACUCCAAUGGCAGCAGAGGCAGUGGGAGGUGAGGACGGAUGAGGAGAAUUCUGUGGAAGUGAGUGCCCUGCUCAGCCCUUGUCUUCUGCUCUCCUUUCUCCUCUGGACCACAAGGAAUGAAUGGCCUGCUCCUCUUCAUGCUGCCCCUACCUGUUGAUUCAGAUGGAUCCUCACGCCACUCUGACAUGAGGAGAAACAGAAGCCAGCCUUAUGCUUUACUCUCCCCUCCCUGAGGAGACAGACUGUACUCAUUGUUGAGGUUGUAUAAGGGUUUGUACCUCUAACAAAGACAUGAAACAGACAAGCCAUAAGAAGCCUUCGUCCUCAACCCCACUGACUCGUCUUUUCCGCUUAGACCCCCUCAGGAAGGAGAAAAGCUAGCUGAGGAAUAAUAGUGGGGUUUUGGAGACGUGAAGGCUUGAGGUUGCAUGCAGUGCUGUUUAGGGGGCCUUUCCUCACAGAAGUGGAAAACCCAGACUUGAUUGUCUCCCGGGCCUUUGCUCACCAGAGUGGAUGGGAGUGAAGGGGUGAGGAGGGAGAGAAGCUGAGGCAGGGGUAUGUUCAUGGGCUGGUGUUAGGGAUGACCCUUUCUAGCGCUUUCCCUCUUUCCCUUCCCCUUUGCUGCUAGUCCUGCCCCCUAGUGGGUGUAGGCUGAAGGGGCAGGGCUCCCAGACAAGGCACAGUGUGCCCCAGGGAGAGGGCCACACAAGGACAGGAGAAGCGAUGGAAAUUUCAGAUGCUAGCAAUCUGGGAGGAGAGAGAGAGUUCCUUCUAGAACUCAGCGGGGGAGACAGAGGAACUUGAUGAUCAUUGCAGUUAUUGCAUAAGGGAUAGGUGGAAGAUUGUCCUGGCUGCCUCGGUGACUAAAGAUAUCGGUCACUGCCUGGACAUGCAUUGCUCACAGACUUGGGUGAGAACUAGAAGGGGAGGACGAUGAUGCAAAUAAGGACGAGGAUGGCUGCCUCCUUGAGUUUUCUGAGCGCCAGGCAGCCAGCCAGCUGGAUCCACGAGAGGCUUCCCCUGCCAGCCUCUUCGCCGCUCUGGGUGGUGGACGUUGUUGUUGUUACUUCCCAGAUGAGACAGUUGAGGCUCAGGGAUCCAAACGAGCUUGCCUAAGGCCAUGGGCUAGUCAGUGCAAGGACAGACCCCACCUCCCCCAGACUGACUCAAAGAUGCACGCAGUGUCCUGCUACCUCAUUCAACAGCCCCUCACGAUGCACCAACGGUAAGCCGGCUUCAGCAGGGGCGGACAAAAACGAGAAUUCCACCACCGUUACUUUUCAUAAGCUUAUAGUCCAGAGACGCUUCCAGAAGUCCUCACGUCUAUUUCUUCGUUGCAUGAAGCCCAUACCAUUUGGCACCAAAGCCCCUUCUGAGGAUUGGAGAGACUUGUCAUUUGUUUUUCCCAGCUGGGCCACUGUCUUCUCGAAGGAGGCACUGAGUCCUAUCACCUGGCCAGUGGCCUUAUCUCCUUCCCUGAGGGCAGGACGAAAACACAGGCAAGAACCCAGGGACCUGCCAUGUGCACUGAAGUGCAAGUCUCCGUCUGGUUCUCUGCGAAUGUAGAGCUUUGAAUCCAAUGUAAAAUUCGAUCAAAACUCGGUGAGUUUUGCCCUCCUGCUUCCUGUUAGUACCAAGGGCAGGAGCGACAUCAGGCUUGGCCUAUGAUUUCUAUUCUUUGGAUAGCAACCCAAAGAAUUUCACAGCCUCACUGCACUGCCUAACUCUCUCUUCCGGACACAGCGCAUCUUUCUCCACCUGUUUUCCCUUCUCAAGCUUCUGCACCUGGAUCAUCUUGCAGACGGAGGGAGGUCGACGCAGUUUACCAUUUCUCUGUCUCAGCUGUUCUGCUGGUCACCUCCUAACAGCCCUCACGGGGGGAGGAUCGUGGCUGUCUCGCUUGCUUUCCGCGGCAUUUCCAACUGCCUUUGAGGUUUUAUCAUUGACACUUUUGAAUAGCACUGUCAUUUUGUUGUCCCAUUCUGGAUGCCAUCAUCUGUAUUCUGAUUUCAUCUCACCUCGAGACCAGGUUGUCCAAGCCUUAUUUAUUUAUUUAUUUAUUUCCUAUUUUGACUUGAGACAGCUUUUCGUUUACUCUUCACAUCAGUGGGUAUCUGGGAUGCUGUGGCUUUAACUUUGAAACAUGGUCACGUGCAGCCGGGGUGCUUUUACCGUGGGUCUCAUAGGCUAGUGGAGUGGGGGCUGGGAUCUGGAAGAAGAGCCCCAGGACAAAGACAGCCUUGUCAUUGGUUAUGAGCAAGUGCAAGUCUGUGCUUCGGAGCUGGGGAAGACAGGUUUGAGAAGACUUAGGGAAGGAGAUUCCUCCCGUCAAUGUGGACUCUAUCCCAGAUGCCAGGGAAAGUCUCUGGGAAUUCCCUAGGAUCUGUGCUCAGCUUGAGAGGCUUCCAAGAGACAUUAUCUCAGUACAUUCCAUUUUAAUAAAGAACAUGGAAGAAGACGGCAUCUGGGAAGCAUGUGCAGCCUACAGAACUGAUAUAGGUAAAAAGAAUUCUUUUUGCCUGUGGUAAAUCCGCAACUGCUUGGUCAACAUGGAUUUCUUGCCACUAAAUCUUCAGGGGAAGAGCCUCAAAGGGAAGAGCCUCAAAGGGAGAGGUAAGGAUCCCGCCCCUAUGCUGGUUCACAGGAGCAGGGCCGGUACACUAUUGGAAGGGUCCACCUCAUAGAGGAAUUCUUACCCGUGCUCUGAUCUCCCACUGGGUGUGGUGGUCCGGGGGCGUCAUCCCGGUUGGUCCAAGGACGAAUGUCCUCCGGGCAUCGGAAAAGGCCAUGCUGCGUCCAAGGCCCCCCACACGUCUUGUACUCUACAGUUUUUGUCACAUGAGGACAUGAUUGCCUUCAAAGAUCUCCUUAGAACUUUGGGACACACUUCAAGCCCUAAAAACAAGAACUUUAUUACUCAACCUGUUACCUAUCUGCGUCUCUAUUUGGACAAGAUAUAUUAUUGUUCCCCUCCCCCGGCCCAGCUCCUUCCCAAAAGAAAGGUGAUAACCAUCUGCUUUGUUUGAUGAAGCACAUCAUGUGUUAUUCUAGCUGCAGAGAAAGUCCCUUUCUUACUGGGAAGCCUGCGUGGUGGUUUGAAAGGUCAGAGACUUAAAUUUUUGUCUUUUUUUUUUUUUUUAACCGAGAAGAUGUAUAUCCUGGCUGAGUCUCUGACUUCAUCUGAGUUUUUUAUUUGUCCUCACUACAAAUCAUUGGGAUGGACCCAAUGAUUCCUUUACAAGGUCUGUUUUCCAUCCUGAAUGCCAAAGCUGCUUCUCUGAAUAGUAUCUGCAAAGAUAUUCCCUGGCUUACUUAGAGUUCCUUUCCUCUUGGAGAUACUGAAUAUGCUUCCAACGGUGGUAAGACUUUAGUGUAUGCAUAGUCCCUUCUUUAUGAUGCUUCAUCCAGGUGACAACCAGCUAAUACCAGACCGGCCGACGACUUCUUAAACCAUGUAAUAUAUGUCUAGGGUUUUGCUUUUUUUUAAUUUUUUUUUUAAUGUUUAUUUAUUUUUGAGACAGAGGGAGACAGAGCACGAGUGGGGGAGGGGCAGAGAGAGAGGGAAACAGAAUCCCAAGCAGGCUCCAGGCUCUGAGCUGUCAGCACAGAGCCCGAUGCGGGGCUCGAAUCCACGAACCGUGAGAUCAUGACCUGAGCCGAAGUCAGACGCUUAACUGACUGAGCCACCCAGGCGCGCCCUGUAGGGUUUUGUUUUUUAAAUGAACGCCAGCAUCAUAAUAACUAAUGUUACUGAGUAUGUGCUAUAUUCUAGUUAUUCUUCUAAGCCUUCAGAUGUAAAAUCACUUUUGAUUUAAUCCUUACAAAUAGCCUAGGAGGUACAUUCUAUUAUUUAUGCCCGUUUUACAGGUGAGCAAGCCAACACACAAAGCUGAUUAAAUACUUUGCCCAAGGUCAGGUAACAACACGGUAGAACCGGAUUCCACUGGGGCUAACACUUGAGUCUGUGCUCUUGCCCGCCAGCUGAAUCUGGAUUCACGCAAAUGUUGUUUGAUUUUGCUUUGUUUUCCCCACAGCCUCGAUUAUUUUAGGAUCUGUUUUCAAACACAAUACGUUUCUCAAGUGCUAGAGGCUAGCACUUACACGUCUUCAGGAUAGGAUUUGACUCUAGGGAUAUGCAAAUCUGUGUAACACCAAACUGUACAUGCCAGAGCUUAGAAUGAAUAAAUUGGACAUUUGAGAUUUCCGGAGAGAACCAGAGAUAGAGAUUAUGGCCACUACCGUGCGUAUUGAUUUGAAAGCCUGACUCAGGUUGCAGAAGGCCCUGGUCUUUUCCCAGAGCCCCUGCCCUUAGCCUCCUGCUUCGGGCCUUAAAAAGACACUGAGCGUCGCUUGUCUUCCUGAAUGAGAAAUAUUGCCUGUGGUUACUCUGAGGGAGACCAACUGGUACAUGUCCUAUGGCAAUGACAGGACGCGGCUCCAGCUGGAGUCUCUCUUCCCACUGCUGUACUCAGCUCGUCCUGGUUUCGCCAAAGACAAAAACCUCCCUCCCAAAGGCUUGUCCUCGAGCUGGGGGACGACACCUCAUGUUAAACACCGCCCAUGGCACCUAGCAUUUUGCCUGGCACAUGAUAAGGGCUCCUAAAUAUUUGUUACUGCCUGCCAAAAGAGAUCAAUUCAGCCGUGAUUUUUCACUUCUCCAAAAGAUUCGCUGCAGGGUUCCUUUAAAUGGCCAGCUCCCCUAGUGCAUUUAAAAUGUGACUUGAUUUAUAGGAAUUCAACAUACAAGGCCCUGCGAGGCCACAUCAAUCGUGUAAACUGAGAUGCAUGUGCUGCUGGGUUCCCACUGACCGAGCGUGUUGGCAGCUCCCUCCACCAGCCUGGAAUGCACACAAACCCCGGGGCUGCGCUCCCUCCUUUUAUCACAAAGGAGCUCAUUUUGUGAAUGAACAGCCGCCGCCAGCAGCACGUUGGUAUUCCCAGUGACCUUUGCCCGGGGAUUGGAUUCCCGCCCAGCAGGGAGACCGGGGCCCUAGGAAAAGUUUGAUGUUUUUAGGUAUCAAAGGAAGGUCUCCAGGAACCCUGCAACUAAAGACUUUAAUGAGGACCAUGCCCGAGAAAUCCCGGCUGCCAAAGACAUGAUGAUGAUUUAUGUCGCUCACUCACUCCCUAACAGCAAGAGGACUAUUUGUAAAAAUAAAAAAGCUGCUCAUAUGGAAUUAAACAAGAGCAUAGCUGCUUCCUUCCAGACCCUGGGAGCUUAACAAAGAGCAUCCACACUCCGCGGCCAGCAGCACAUGGCCCAGGGCCGGCCGUCUUCCUGUCACACAGCGCUCAGACAGCCGCGCACGCUCCCUGUCGGCGGACCCCAACAGGCACAUGCCCAGGGAAGCACAAACUCGGGUCGGACACAAAAGGGUCUACACUGACCUCAGGCCUCAGCUGAGCCACCGAAGGGCUCUGAGCAUCAAGAGGUGGGCAGAGGCACAGGCCGCUGCCGUGGUCGCCCCCAGGGCCUGGCCGCAAGAUGGUUAGCGCCCCUCUUUGUUCUUGGUGUCGGACCGCUGAGCGACCCAUGGGUGCCACCUGGGUUCUGGCUAGCUCGCCAAAGGGGGAAGAAAUACAUUCUUAUGCCUCCCUUUCCUCAUGUUAGCUGAGGCCACCGCAGAGUGUUGAUAGCAGUAAGGAGAGGAAGCGUAGGACACGUGGAACGCAACGCUGACACCUGCUGAUUAUUAUCGAUCUGUAUUGCGGCUGCCACCAAUGGGGCCGCUCAGACCUCCUGCUGCAGUGACAGUACUUGACCGAGGGACUGGUCUAUGUUCUUGCAGGUCACGAUCGGUCAGGUGCACCACAAAAGGGACCCUAGGGGAGACACAAGAAAACAGUGUGUUAUACUCACGGGACCUAGACAGGGGGUUACCGUAGGGCAUGC